Molecule: ribosomal RNA, 877 nt
Filed under: uncultured bacterium
Lineage: Bacteria
Description: bacterial SSU rRNA
Rfam family: Bacterial small subunit ribosomal RNA
Source: RNAcentral
UAGCUGUGGCGGCAGGCCUAACACAUGCAAGUCGAACGGUAACAGGAAGUGCUUGCACUUCGCUGACGAGUGGCGGACGGGUGAGUAAUGCUUGGGAACUUGCCUUUGUGAGGGGGAUAACAGUUGGAAACGACUGCUAAUACCGCAUAAUGUCUACGGACCAAACGGGGCUUCGGCUCCGGCGCAAAGAGAGGCCCAAGUGAGAUUAGCUAGUUGGUAAGGUAAAGGCUUACCAAGGCAACGAUCUCUAGCUGUUCUGAGAGGAAGAUCAGCCACACUGGAACUGAGACACGGUCCAGACUCCUACGGAAGGCAGCAGUGGGGAAUAUUGCACAAUGGGGGAAACCCUGAUGCAGCCAUGCCGCGUGUGUGAAGGAGGCCUUCGGGUUGUAAAGCACUUUCAGUUGUGAGGAAAAGUUAGUAGUUAAUACCUGCUAGCCGUGACGUUAACAACAGAAGAAGCACCGGCUAACUCCGUGCCAGCAGCCGCGGUAAUACGGAGGGUGCGAGCGUUAAUCGGAAUUACUGGGCGUAAAGCGCACGCAGGCGGUUUGUUAAGCUAGAUGUGAAAGCCCCGGGCUCAACCUGGGAUGGUCAUUUAGAACUGGCAGACUAGAGUCUUGGAGAGGGGAGUGGAAUUCCAGGUGUAGCGGUGAAAUGCGUAGAUAUCUGGAGGAACAUCAGUGGCGAAGGCGACUCCCUGGCCAAAGACUGACGCUCAUGUGCGAAAGGUGUGGGUAGCGAACAGGAUUAGAUACCCUGGUAGUCCACACCGUAACGCUGUCUGCUAGCUGUUUGUGACUUUAAGUCGUGAGUAGCGAAGCUAACGCGAUAAGUAGACCGCCUGGGGAGUACGGCCGCAAGGUUAAAACUCAAA